This 254-nucleotide ribosomal RNA is filed under the name uncultured bacterium. Its description in RNAcentral is "partial 16S ribosomal RNA". It matches the Rfam family "Bacterial small subunit ribosomal RNA", at positions 524 to 776 of the family's 1533-position model. The record is from RNAcentral.
UACGUAGGGCGCGAGCGUUGUCCGGAUUUAUUGGGCGUAAAGAGCUCGUAGGCGGCUUGUCGCGUCAACUGUGAAAACCCGUGGCUCAACCAUGUGGUCUGCAGUCGAUACGGGCAGGCUAGAAUUCGGUAGGGGAGACUGGAAUUCCUGGUGUAGCGGUGAAAUGCGCAGAUAUCAGGAGGAACACCGGUGGCGAAGGCGGGUCUCUGGGCCUUACCUGACGCUGAGGAGCGAAAGCGUGGGGAGCGAACAGG